RNAcentral lists this small nucleolar RNA (128 nucleotides) under Dasypus novemcinctus (nine-banded armadillo). Its description in RNAcentral is "Small nucleolar RNA SNORA31 (ENSDNOG00000046827.1)". It matches the Rfam family "Small nucleolar RNA SNORA31". From Rfam's summary of the family: ACA31 (SNORA31) belongs to the H/ACA class of snoRNAs which are thought to guide the sites of modification of uridines to pseudouridines. The record is from RNAcentral. Lineage: Eukaryota; Metazoa; Chordata; Mammalia; Cingulata; Dasypodidae.
AAGCACCUCUGAGAGCCCUGGAGCAGUUAAUGUAUGCUGCUAAGGUUUCCACUACAGCUGCAAGGAAAAGAAGUCCUCAUGCUUUCUGUCUGUCUGUGGCAGUCAAGAUUGAAUGGGGGAAUACAGGA